UACGGAGGGUGCAAGCGUUAUCCGGAAUUAUUGGGCGUAAAGCGCGCGUAGGCGGUUUUUUAAGUCUGUUGUGAAAGCCCAGGGCUCAACCUGGGAAGGGCAUUGGAAACUGGAAAGCUUGAGUGCAGGAGAGGAAGGUGGAAUUCCAGGUGUAGCGGUGAAAUGCGUAGAGAUAUGGAGGAACACCAGUGGCGAAGGCGGCCUUCUGGUCUGUAACUGACGCUGAUGUGCGAAAGCGUGGGUAUCAAACAGG
RNAcentral lists this ribosomal RNA (253 nucleotides) under uncultured bacterium. RNAcentral describes it as "partial 16S ribosomal RNA". It matches the Rfam family "Bacterial small subunit ribosomal RNA", at positions 524 to 776 of the family's 1533-position model. The record is from RNAcentral.